UUCCGGUUGAUCCCGCCGGAGGCUACCGCUAUUGGAGUUCGAUUAAGCCAUGCGAGUCGCGAGUCUUCAAGGACUCGGCGUACCGCUCAGUAACACGUGGGUAACCUGCCCUAUGCUGGGGGAUAACCUCGGGAAACUGAGAAUAAUACCCCAUAGUUCACCACGCCUGGAACGGUGGGUGGAUGAAAGCUCCGGCGGCAUAGGAUGGGCCUGCGGCGUAUCAGGUUGUAGGGGGUGUAAUGUACCCUCUAGCCAUCUACGCGUACGGGUGUUGGGAGACAUCGCCCGGAGAUGGAUUCUGAGACACGAAUCCAGACCCUACGGGGUGCAGCAGGCGCGAAAACUUGGCAAUGCGAGCAAUCGUGACCAGGGAACUCCAAGUGCAUCGGGUAAGACCGAUGCUUUUCUUGACUCUUCAAAGGUCUUGGAAUAAGGGGUGGGUAAGGACGGUGCCAGCCGCCGCGGUAAUACCGGCGCCUCAAGUGGUAGUCGCUUUUAUUGGGCCUAAAACGUCCGUAGCCGGUUUGGUACAUUCGUGGGUAAAUCAAGGCGCUCAACGUCUUGAAUUCUGCGAGCACGGCCAGACUUGGGACCGGGUGAGGUGUGGGGUACUCUCAGGGUAGGGGUAAAAUCCUGUCAUCCUGAGAGGACCACCUGUUGCGAAGGCGCCACACUAGAACGGAUCCGACGGUCAGGGACGAAGCCUAGGGGCACGAACCGGAUUAGAUACCCGGGUAGUCCUAGGUGUAAACGCUGUGGACUUGAUGUUGGGAGUGCUCCGAGCACCCUCAGUGUCGAAGCGAAGGUGAUAAGUCCACUGCCUGGGGAGUACGGUCGCAAGGCUGAAACUUAAAGGAAUUGGCGGGGGAGCACUGCAACCUGAGGAUUGUGCGGUUUAAUUGGAUUCAACGCCGGA
This 916-nucleotide ribosomal RNA is filed under the name uncultured marine archaeon. Its description in RNAcentral is "bacterial SSU rRNA". It matches the Rfam family "Archaeal small subunit ribosomal RNA", at positions 1 to 922 of the family's 1478-position model. The record is from RNAcentral.